AUUGAACGCUGGCGGCAGGCCUAACACAUGCAAGUCGAGCGGAUGAAGGGAGCUUGCUCCUGGAUUCAGCGGCGGACGGGUGAGUAAUGCCUAGGAAUCUGCCUGGUAGUGGGGGAUAACGUCCGGAAACGGGCGCUAAUACCGCAUACGUCCUGAGGGAGAAAGUGUGGGAUCUUCGGACCUCACGCUAUCAGAUGAGCCUAGGUCGGAUUAGCUAGUUGGUGGGGUAAAGGCCUACCAAGGCGACGAUCCGUAACUGGUCUGAGAGGACGAUCAGUCACACUGGAACUGAGACACGGUCCAGACUCCUACGGGAGGCAGCAGUGGGGAAUAUUGGACAAUGGGCGAAAGCCUGAUCCAGCCAUGCCGCGUGUGUGAAGAAGGUCUUCGGAUUGUAAAGCACUUUAAGUUGGGAGGAAGGGCAGUAAGUUAAUACCUUGCUGUUUUGACGUUACCAACAGAAUAAGCACCGGCUAACUUCGUG
Molecule: ribosomal RNA, 484 nt
Filed under: uncultured bacterium
Lineage: Bacteria
Description: partial 16S ribosomal RNA
Rfam family: Bacterial small subunit ribosomal RNA
Source: RNAcentral